GUUCCAAGUAUUACACCCUGACCGUGGCCGUGAAUUGCAAUCUCUCAUCAGCUUCCUAGCUCUGCGCAGUGCACCAACACGUGACUACUCGCCUAGCAUGCUGGGUACUCAUGCAUGCUGGGUAAUGCAGUUCUAUAUAACUAACAUCGAUACGCUACAAGUGAUAUUCAUGUACUGUGCCAGUCGUGUUCAGUGAUUUUGUGUGUUUGCCAGUCUGAUAAUUUAUUGUCUUAUUAUAGGUGACAAUGUACUGCCCAUUUUGCGCAUCUGCAGUGGUGUCCCAAGGAAGGACAUUCUGUAGUUCAUGUGGGAAAAAUAUCAGCUUCCUAUACAGUGUUGAUACAACUCAACAAGCCACAACAACAAGUGAAGCCGAAAGCAGUGGGACAGAUGCUCUAGCUACGUUCCAGAAUUUCCGAUCCAUCAAGGACAUGGAAAGGCGAUCUUGUUUCAAAAAGAAAAAAAACUUAAAACAAAAAUAUGUUAAGAUGUUAAUUGGAUUAAUGACAAGGAAGGACAGCAUUCUGAAACCAGUCCGAGGAUCAUGUCUACCCCUGGUAGUAGAGCCAGAAUCCAAUGCUAAACAACUCCAGAAAGCGGCAGAACAAAAAAUGAGAAACUUUAACCAAAAUUUAAAUGGUGGUCCUUACACUCUGCUGUACCCCGAUGGUACAGAGGUAAAAAAUAUACCUGGGACCCAAACAUCCUUCUCGCUACAACUGUAUAAGGAGGCAAUAGGGAAGGCUUAUCAAAGGAUUACACUUUAUCUUUGUACAGUUGAAGACUUUGUCACUCAAACAGAGGAACAUGUCACUUCUGACUCGAGUGACUCAGAGGUGAUCGCUAUCAGUGGAGUUACAGCACAGUCAAAUGCAACGUACACAUUACCAAGUGUAAUGGAUACCAUUUCCUUCUUUCCUAUUUGUCUGUCUGUUUUAUCAUGUGCAUAUGAAUGUAUAUGCAUACAAGCUUCCACUCACAGUCCAGUUUUUUAUAUA
Oryzias latipes (Japanese medaka) is the source of this 998-nucleotide long non-coding RNA. RefSeq lists it as uncharacterized. The record is from RefSeq and is a predicted model, not a curated record. Lineage: Eukaryota; Metazoa; Chordata; Actinopteri; Beloniformes; Adrianichthyidae.